AGGAAAUAGAUACCCGGGUAGUCCACGCCCUAAACGAUGUCAACUAGUUGUUGGGGGAGUAAAUCCCUUAGUAACGCAGCUAAACGCGUGAAAGUUGACCGCCUGGGGAGUACGGUCGCAAGAUUAAAACUCAAAGGAAUUGACGGGGCCCGCACAAGCGGUGGAUUAUGUGGAUUAAUUCGAUGCAACGCGAAAAACCUUACCUGGCCUUGACAUGCCACUAACGAAGCAGAGAUGCAUUAGGUGCCCGAAAGGGAAAGUGGACACAGGUGCUGCAUGGCUGUCGUCAGCUCGUGUCGUGAGAUGUUGGGUUAAGUCCCGCAACGAGCGCAACCCUUGCCAAUAAUUGCCAUCAUUCAGUUGGGCAC
This 368-nucleotide ribosomal RNA is filed under the name uncultured bacterium. RNAcentral's name for it is "bacterial SSU rRNA". It matches the Rfam family "Bacterial small subunit ribosomal RNA", at positions 774 to 1138 of the family's 1533-position model. The record is from RNAcentral.